GCUGAGAUGCCCGAGUGGUCUAAGGGGGACGUCUUAAGAACGUCUGGCGCAAGCCUCACGGGUUCGAACCCCGUUCUCAGCA
Molecule: transfer RNA, 82 nt
Filed under: Micromonas sp. RCC1109 virus MpV1
Lineage: Varidnaviria; Bamfordvirae; Nucleocytoviricota; Megaviricetes; Algavirales; Phycodnaviridae
Rfam family: tRNA
About the family: Transfer RNA (tRNA) molecules are approximately 80 nucleotides in length.
Source: Rfam by way of RNAcentral